RNAcentral lists this long non-coding RNA (3155 nucleotides) under Canis lupus familiaris (dog). RNAcentral's name for it is "lncRNA (ENSCAFG00040000101.1)". Lineage: Eukaryota; Metazoa; Chordata; Mammalia; Carnivora; Canidae. The record is from RNAcentral.
AUGAGAGACACAGAGAGAGAGAGGCAAAGACACAGGCAGAGGGAGAAGCAGGCUCCAUUCAGGGAGCCCGAUGUGGGACUCGAUCCCAGGACCCUGGGAUCACGCCCUGAUCUGAAGGCAGACACUCAACCACUGAGCCACUCAGGUGCCCCAGAGAAGACAAUAUUUAAAGAACAUUUUGGUUUGCCUGGAUACAGACUAUUGGACACAGAACAAAGCACACAGAGAACCCUUGUGUGUUCGGGCACCCUCUGUAUGCACCUACUCUUCCCCGGGAGGAUUCAUUCUAAGGAAAGAGCAGCAACUCUGAAGCCCCGGAGCUGCCUGCUACCACUGAAAGGCCUUAGUGCCGUGGGAUUGGGCCUUCCACCCAGGUAGGCCAUGGAAUUCUAUUGAACACAAGUUCAGAGAAUGACAAAGCAGAAUGUUCUCUAACUAUUCUGUAUUCUGUAGGGUUAUUCUGUAACUGACCUAAUCUUGUAAUUAUUCUGUAACUUUAUUGGAUCCAAGCAAAAACAAGUCUAUUUUGUAAACAUGUCUUGAAAGAUAAACAGAAACAUUGUCCAAAUGAUUCAAAAGGCCAAAAUUACCCUAACCUGGUGAAUGCCAGGACCCUGCCCUUUAAACAAUUUACAGCCUCAUCUGUGCUCCCUUCUUCCCUACCUCCUAGAAAACAGUUAAGAUGUCCCAUCAAAGAAUUAUCCUAAUUUCCUCAUGGCAGCCACCAAUCCAGAUCAAAAGCCCCUGCUUCCCUGAACCCUCCCUACAAAUGCCAAACACAUUCCCAAAUCUUUUUUUUUUUUUUUAGAUUUUAUUUGUUUAUUCGUGACAGACACAGAAGAGAGAGAGAGAGAGAGAGAGAGGCAGAGACACAGGCAGAGGGAGAAGCAGGCUCCGUGCAGGGAGCCCGACAUGGGACUUGAUCCCCGGUCUCCAGGAUCACACCCCUGGUUGAAGGUGGUGCUAAACCACUGGGCCACUGGGGCUGCUCCAUUCCCAAAUCUUUAAACCCUUUUUCAACACCCUUCUCCAGAGAUGCUCCAAUGGUUUUUCACAGGGUGUGUUCUCUUUUGUUGUGACAAAUGAAUAAAAGCAACUGUGUUCUACUAAUAAAAUGUUCCAGAAGGUUUUUGGAUGUAGAGAUUUGACAAGUCUGUGGCAUGAGUAUUUGGGAGCCAAUCGAGAGGUAGAAGAACACUCACCAGAAAAGACAGACAUGUGUAAGGGACACAGAGGUAAAUGAGCAACAGCUACAAUUCUAUCAAGUGUGCAGAAAAAGGGAGAUUGGUAUAAGAAGAGGGAGGGAGAAAUACUGCUAGAAAAAAAGAUUAUGAAGAGAGGACUGGAGAAAAUAGGCGCAGGUCACAAUGCAAUGUUGGAAGCUGCUGGUGGUCUGGUGGUGGAGUGGGGAUAACUCAUGCAUGUAUGCAUUCAUGCAUUCAGUCAGCCAACAAGACUUUACUGAGUAUCCCCUACAUGCCAGGUGCUGGGUCUUGGCAAGGAUAAACAUGCAAGGGUAAACAAAGGAAAGGCACUGUUCCUGCUUCUGGGAUCUUCCUGCAUCUCACACUUGGUGGUAGGAAGCGGAGGGAGCAAACACCAGCUAAUUGCAGAGAUAACAAUUGCCCCUAGAACCUGUGCUCUGGAGGAAAAGUGUCUGAGGCUAGCAGAGACUACACAGGGUUCGGAGACCACAGAUGACUUCAUUGAGUAAGUGGCUUUGGGCUAAGAUUUGGAGAAUGAGUAAGAGCUAACCAAGUGAAGGGAUGAUCAAAGAGCAAUUUAGACAGGGGGUAGGACACAUACAAAGCCCUUCUGGUGAGGAGGAAGUAAGCAUAAAAGUAUGAAGUAAGUGACAUUGGCGUGGCAGUCAUGGGGGAUAUACUGCGUAAGAGAAGAGAGAGGUAGACAGGAUUGCGAUAUGCAGAAUAUUAUAGCACAGGGUUGGCAAACAGUAGCCUAUGAGUCAAACCCAGCCCAUCGCUUGUGUUUAUAUGUAAACUCUUCUUGGACCAUAGUCAGCUCUCUGGAUAUUGUCCAUGAUUGUUUCCUCAUUACCAGAACUCUUGAAAAUUAUCAUAGAGGAAAGUAUAGCCUGGAAAACAAAGUAUUUAUUAUUUAGCCCCUAAGGGGGAAAGGUUUGCUGAUCCCAGUUAUAUUCUAUGCCAGGAGUUUUGUCUGUAUUUAUUUAUUUAUUUAUUUAUUUAUUUAUUUAUUUAUUUAUUUAUUUAUAAGAUUUUAUUUAUUUAUUCAUGAGAGACACAGAGAGAGGCAGAGACAUAAGCAGAGGGAGAAGCAGGCUCUCUAUGGGGAGCCCAAUGCGGGACUUGAUCCCAGGACCUUGGGAUCACACCCGGAGCAGACACUCAACCACUGAGCCACCCAGGUGCCCCAGAUACUUGUUCCUUGUAAGGAAACACACCAAAAUGAUAUAAACGACAAGAAAUAUAUAAACAGUUUGAAAUUCUUACUUUCUAAUUAUAGGAAAAGAGAAACUAUAGAGCUCAAGUUAGAUCAAAGAAACUCAUUAAUAUGAUUACAUUCUAAUAAGAAAAUUAACGAGAUUUGUGGACCGAAGGAGAUACUAGUAAAAAGUCCGUGGAGGGCUGCCUAGAAGUAUCUUCCCAGGGUCUGGCCUGGUCAUUCUUAAGAACCAAGCAUUGGAGGGUGAAAAACUUCUUAGCCUGAACUUUGAGCAGUAAAAAAAAAAAGCCUAGAUAUCUUUAUCUCUCCAAGAUAUGCACUGUGCUGAAUAGUCGAUUUGAUGUAGUUGAUGUACGGGGACAGAGCUCAUGAGAAUUUUUAAUAACUCCUGCAUUCUUUGCUGGUCAUAAUUCAUUACUGAGCCACCAUUAGGACUGGACUGGGGGGGAUCCCUGCGUGGCACAGCGGUUUGGCGCCUGCCUUUGGCCCAGGGUGCGAUCCUGGAGACCCGGGAUCAAAUCCCACGUUGGGCUCCCGGUGCAUGGAACCUGCUUCUCCCUCUGCCUGUGUUUCUGCCUCUCUCUCUCUCUCUGUGUGUGUGUGUGACUAUCAUAAAUAAAAAAAUAAAUUAAUUAAUUAAAAAAAAAGAACUGGACUGAGGCUCACUGCUUAGUCCCUCACUGACUGUAUUUUCAGUGGGAAAAUAAUGGAUGUCUGUGUUUUUUUCAGCA